GAUGAACGCUGGCGGCAUGCCUAAUACAUGCAAGUCGAACGCUGGAGAUCUAGCUUGCUAGAUCGAAGGAGUGGCGAACGGGUGAGUAAUACAUAAGCCACCUACCCACGAAGACUGGGAUAAUCUCUGGAAACGGGGACUAAUACCGGAUAGGUAAUCGGAAGGCAUCUUCUGGUUAUUAAAGGUUAAAAACACUGGUGGAUGGGCUUAUGGCGCAUUAGUUAGUUGGUGAGGUAACGGCCCACCAAGACGAUGAUGCGUAGCCGGCCUGAGAGGGUGAACGGCCACAUUGGGACUGAGACACGGCCCAGACUCCUACGGGAGGCAGCAGUAGGGAAGUUUCGGCAAUGGGGGCAACCCUGACCGAGCAACGCCGCGUGAGUGAAGACGGCCUUCGGGUUGUAAAGCUCUGUUGUAAGGGAAGAACGGUAGAUAGAGAAUAUCUAAGUGACGGUACCUUACCAGAAAGCCACGGCUAACUACGUG
This 486-nucleotide ribosomal RNA is filed under the name uncultured bacterium. RNAcentral's name for it is "partial 16S ribosomal RNA". It matches the Rfam family "Bacterial small subunit ribosomal RNA", at positions 28 to 507 of the family's 1533-position model. The record is from RNAcentral.